CCAGCUGGGGCCAAUUAUGUCCCAAAGAGGCUUGGUGUGUGACCAGCCUGUGUUUGCUGAGGGAGGGAAGAAGGCAGUGCCUUUGGAGAAGGCUCAUGAAAGGAUUCAAAUCUACUGAGCAGUAGGAUCGAGCAAGUAGCAGAGGGAGAAGUAGGAUGUGAUUACUGGAGUGGCCUAGUUUUUGCUUCUCUGGAGGGAGACUGGCUGGAGCAAGCCAUCUUCUUUUUAUUCCUUUGUUUUGUCUGGAUUGGGGUGCAGAAACUUCUCAUUUGUGGAACUCUUUUAGAACCCAGAAGGGGAGGACGUUUUCUGCUUUGACUUGAGGGACAAGCUAUCCUAUCUGCUGGAGAGACACUGAGGCAGCAACUGCACCAUUCAGAAAGAGUGAAACUGAAGCCUUGCCAUAGGUAAAAUGGCUGCCGCUGUCAUUUGGGAAGGCCAGACAGGACACUACUGGGACACAGACUGAGAGGAGCAGCAGAGACACUGCAAGAGAUGCAUCAGAUAGCUGAGCAGGAGCCUGAACAGGCAUCAAGAGAUGCUGGUGAGGAACAAAUGCCUCCAGCUUCAUGAUAGAUGAUAAAUUGCAUUCUGCCAAAAUGAGUGGGUUGGUCUUCAGUGAUUAUAUCAACUGGUGCUAUUCUUCUACCCUCUUCAAAUUAUUACCGUGGUGCAACCUGCUUUUUCUGAGUAGGCAUCAGAAAAUCUUUAUUGUUACAUUGCCAAGCCUAAACUAUGGAUAAUGAGGAUAAAACUGUUAACAUAAAAGCUCUGGUACAUAGUAAAAUAAAGGAAUAAUGGUGGUGUGACUCCCAAAUUCCUUUUAAAAAACAAACCACUCUUUAUUUUGGAAUCAUUAAGGAGAGUACUGCUCUAUAUUAUAAAGACAUAAAAGAAAUUAGUGGAUGAUACAAUGCUGCGAGGAGCCGUGAUACAGGGUAAUCCUCUGCAGAGGAAAACAUGAUUUCAGUAUCUUUAUGGCUCCUAGAGCUAUUGUUCUCACUGCAUAGAGGUGUCUUGCAUUGGAGCUGUAAUGUAAGGACUCUGAGCCUAACUAUCAGCUGCCUUGUAUAGAUAUGUAGGACCUCACAAGGAGUGAGGCAGUAGAAAAUCUGAUCAGGGCUGGAUCUUGGCUAUUUUUUUUAAGAUGGGUUUCUCAUCCUUGGCAUUGCAAAGAAAAGCUUGAAAAUAUGACCAGAAUGUAAUUGAUGUGGAGAGCUGCCUGAGUCUGUAGAGAGCCUGAAAUGCUAGCGCCGAGAGGGGUGAACUGCCUUAUGCAUCUUGACAGUCCAUUUCCUCCAACCACCUCAGCUGAGGUUUAUGUGCGUGGCAGGAGGAGAGUACAGCAGCCCUUCCCAAAACAGAAACACCCCCGUUGCUGUUACCACCUGCUGCCUCCUGGAAGGAGAAUGGGGAGAAAGAAUGGCAU
Molecule: long non-coding RNA, 1429 nt
Organism: Dermochelys coriacea (leatherback sea turtle)
Lineage: Eukaryota; Metazoa; Chordata; Testudines; Dermochelyidae
Exons: 4
Source: RefSeq, a predicted model, not a curated record